AACACUGUUAACCUGCGGUACCUGCGGAAGGAUCAUUACGAGAGUGUCACCACUCCCAACCCACUGUUUACCUACCCGUCCACCGUGCUUCGGCAGGCAGUCCUGUGGGACAGGGCCUCGCCCCCGCGAGGGGGUGCCUGCCGCUGGCCAACCAAAAAUUCUAGCUGUUUUUGUACCAUCUGAGUCUUCCACAAAUAAACAAAACUUUUAACAACGGAUCU
This 221-nucleotide unclassified non-coding RNA is filed under the name soil metagenome. Its description in RNAcentral is "partial contains 5.8S ribosomal RNA, internal transcribed spacer 2, and large subunit ribosomal RNA". The record is from RNAcentral.